UUUUUAUCUUUUUGGUAUUAAAACCAUGUAGGCUACCACUGAGUUGCUCUCCCUCUCCACUCUGAUCUCCUCUUUCUUUUCCUCCCUCUCUUUCUUUGCCUCCCUCCCCUUUAGAUCCCUCGAUGAUCUCCUUCAAAAAUCAAACCAUGUAUUUCAAUUUUCACCUAAUUCAUUGGUAUUAUUAAUUUUCUCUCUCUAUAUAUACUUCUUCACAAAACGCAUAUCCAUUUUGUCCUUAAAACCCAC
RNAcentral lists this long non-coding RNA (246 nucleotides) under Amborella trichopoda. Its description in RNAcentral is "long non-coding RNA (ATRI_LNC004050)". Lineage: Eukaryota; Viridiplantae; Streptophyta; Magnoliopsida; Amborellales; Amborellaceae. The record is from RNAcentral.